This 207-nucleotide ribosomal RNA is filed under the name uncultured bacterium. Its description in RNAcentral is "partial 16S ribosomal RNA". It matches the Rfam family "Bacterial small subunit ribosomal RNA", at positions 568 to 774 of the family's 1533-position model. The record is from RNAcentral.
UGCGUAGGCGGUUUUUCAAGUCAGAUGUGAAAUACCCGGGCUUAACUCGGGGGGUGCAUCUGAAACUGGAAGACUUGAGUGCAGGAGAGGAAAGUGGAAUUCCUAGUGUAGCGGUGAAAUGCGUAGAUAUUAGGAGGAACACCAGUGGCGAAGGCGACUUUCUGGACUGUAACUGACGCUGAGGCGCGAAAGCGUGGGGAGCAAACA